AAUACGAAAACGUGAAAAUCCUCUGUUAAUCCUGAACGCGUAAUUUUAGCUGCAUUUCGAUUUUGUUUAGAAUGUAGCUAGUUUGUUCGACAGUUUUGUAACAACACUUUAUAUCUUGGUAGGAUUCAGUAUUUGCCUUGGCCCAUCCGCAUAUUAUGUUUUUUUGCACAAUAAUCAAAAAUUGUUUAUAAACUUUGUGCUAUAACAUUGCGUCCCGCACGCCUCUAUCAACCAACAAGUAAAUAUGGCAAUGCUAUGUCGUGGGCUUCACAUAUUUCCCCCAAUUCAGCAAGUUCACCAGAGCACGGAUUCCACAAGAAGUAGGGUGGACGGUGCUGUGGACUUUCAUCAAGGGCAGGCCCUACAUCUAAAUGCAAUGAAUGCCAUCAACUCAAAGCUGUUUAUUACCUAAUGUUACUUACACUUUGAUCAUAGGCUAAAAUAAAUAAACCCCUGGGACUAAACCCCCUGAAUCCUGAAUAAACCCCCUGAAUCCUGAAUAAACCCCCUGAAUCUAUGGUCUUUCAGUUGCUGGAUGAGCGGACGCAAGAGCAUGAGAAGUAUGGUGGUAAUCCGGAGCAGCCCAGUAAAAAGCACCAUGUGAUGACCUUACUGGGAGAAGAAGCUAGUGGAGGGACGCUACCUGCAGAAGAUGGGGCUCCUAUCCGUUUAGAUGACCUUACUGGGAGAAGAAGCUAGUGGAGGGACGCUACCUGCAGAAGAUGGGGCUCCUAUCCGUUUAGAUGACCUUAAUGGGAGAAGAAGCUAGUGGAGGGACGCUACCUGCAGAAGAUGGGGCUCCUAUCCGUUUAGAUGAAUAAUAAUCAUCUGGGGGCUUGCCUAGUGGUUGGAAAUCCUAACCUGUCAGAUGUGGGUGCAGCCCACCUCUAGACUAAGUGUGUGUUUUGCAUAGUGUUAGCAUUUUCUCCUCCAAGACGUGUAUUUAAUUAAUUUAUCUGUGCUUGAGGUCAUGCAGUAAAGUUGUAAUGAUGAGUAUGAUUGCUAACUUGAUUUUUACUGUGGUGAAGUAUUGAAGUAAAACUAUUUUAAAGUA
This is a long non-coding RNA of Oncorhynchus gorbuscha (pink salmon), 1054 nucleotides long. RefSeq lists it as uncharacterized. The transcript has 2 exons. The record is from RefSeq and is a predicted model, not a curated record. NCBI's taxonomy places the organism in Eukaryota, Metazoa, Chordata, Actinopteri, Salmoniformes, Salmonidae.